GAGCCAUUAGCUCAGCUGGUAGAGCACCUGACUUUUAAUCAGGGUGUCGAUGGUUCGAAUCCAUCAUGGCUCACCA
RNAcentral lists this transfer RNA (76 nucleotides) under Bacillota bacterium. RNAcentral's name for it is "Firmicutes bacterium (anaerobic digester metagenome) tRNA-Lys". It matches the Rfam family "tRNA". From Rfam's summary of the family: Transfer RNA (tRNA) molecules are approximately 80 nucleotides in length. Their secondary structure includes four short double-helical elements and three loops (D, anti-codon, and T loops). Lineage: Bacteria; Bacillati; Bacillota. The record is from RNAcentral.